This 332-nucleotide ribosomal RNA is filed under the name uncultured bacterium. RNAcentral describes it as "bacterial SSU rRNA". It matches the Rfam family "Bacterial small subunit ribosomal RNA", at positions 568 to 898 of the family's 1533-position model. The record is from RNAcentral.
AGUGUAGGCGGGAUCGUAAGUUAGGAGUUUAAUACAUGGGCUUAACCCAUGAGCUGCUUUUAAUACUGCGGUUCUUGAGUAUGGGAGAGGGCGAUGGAAUUCCAGGUGUAGCGGUGGAAUGCGUAGAAAUCUGGAAGAACACCAGUAGCGAAGGCGGUCGCCUGGCCCAAUACUGACGCUGAUGCUCGAAAGCUAGGGGAGCAAACAGGAUUAGAUACCCUGGUAGCCCUAGCCGUAAACGAUGGACACUAGUUGCUGGAGGAGUCAAUCCUUUCGGUGACGAAGCUAACGCAUUAAGUGUCCCGCCUGGGGAGUACGUUCGCAAGGAUGAA